This is a non-coding RNA of Elaeis guineensis (African oil palm), 3094 nucleotides long. Lineage: Eukaryota; Viridiplantae; Streptophyta; Magnoliopsida; Arecales; Arecaceae. The record is from RefSeq and is a predicted model, not a curated record.
UUAUAUUCAUGCAUAAUUCAUGACCCAAGUCUGAACCAAAAGGAUGAGAAUAGAGGCUUCUUACAUUUUUUCUUCCAAGGAUUAAGCUGAUAUAUAAAAAAGCUAGAUCCGAUUCAAUCUUGAUGAUGAUUUAUCUAAGUUCAUAUUUCGAAAGAAUAUUAUAUUUGAUAUUGUUUUUCGAUUUAUGACAAUUAAGAAUAUUUCAGAAUCAGCACGACAAUCUAUCAUGAGUGGGGAAGAAAAUACUAAGAGGACAAGCAUAUCUCAUCCAACAAGAUAAGGCUAACAAACCAAUUCUUCUUUCUUCUCAUGAAUUUUUAGCUUUUAUAUGAAAAUAGAGGUCUAUAAAGAUUCCAAGAUAUGAAAUCAUUUCUCUUCCAACAUAUUCACUUCUUUUUAUCUGCUUUAGAUUUCUGAUUUGAGCAUCGGAGAAUCCUCCGUCAGAAUCAAUUCUGGUUAAGGACUUAUUCUGUAGGUCCUGCUAUUACUGUCCUACCAUCAUUGUCUUGCAGUUGUCAUACAGCUCUAGUUAAGUCGAUCCAAGAUAGAAAUCUACAGCAACAGAUUGGUACUAGAGGAAGGAUUUAGGUUCUUUUUAUGGAAAAGAGCAAGCAUCCAAUCAAAGAUACUUCGUUACAUCGCUCCAACACCACCAAGUUCUUAAAGACUAGAUGAUUCUAAAUGUCUGCUAAAUCCGAUCAUCUCUAGAUCAGCCAGACGUUAAUCAUAUCCAGACUGACCAUCUCCAAAUCGGUCAAAUAUCGAUCAGAUCUGUCCGCCUCCAAAUUGGUCAGAUGUCAAUCAGGAUAAAGGGAGCUUAGCCAAAAAAAUCUCGUAGGCGAUCCAUGGGUUGGUGAAUGAUGCCAACUUCAACUGCUCGGCCAUCGAUCUUUGAUCAUUCUACUUCGAUCAGGCAUCAAUCACAUUGGAGGUCCACAAGUCUUUGAGUAUCUGAACUGAGGUAAAGACCAAGACCAACCAGAGGUGAAAAUCAAAAUGGAAGCCAAGCAAUGAAGCCUAAAAUCAAGUUAAGGUGAAGAUUAAAAUCAAGAUCGAGUCACUAAGCCUAAGAUUGAGGUAAAGAUAAAGCCAAAACAAAGAUUAGGACAGAGCCAAAGUAAAGGCCAAAAUUGAGCCGAGGCAAAGAUCAUGCUCGAGCCAAGGUGAAAAUCAAAAUCAAAGCCGAGCUAUGAAGGUCAAGAUCGGGCCAAGAUGAAGAUCAAAAUCGAGGUCGAGCCACUAAGUCUUGUUAAUCUUAUGAAUGAUUUUGAUGAUUAUCAAAUUUUGAGUAAUUAUAAUUCUAAUCAUGUGUUUCAAGGUUGGAUAUAGAUUUUUCUAGAUUUUAUCAUUGGAAAAGGUCCUCCCAAAAGAAGCUAAGUCAAGAAAUUCAAAGAAGAAUUUUCAAGUUUCAAGCUGAUCAGGAGUCGACCCUAAGGUAGAGGAGUCAACUCUGACACACUAAAAUAGGACCAGCAUGAUUCUGAGUCGACUCAUGAACAGUAGGAGUCGACUCUCAAAGAAAAUAGAGAACUAUAUUCAGGAUUCUUAAUUUGAGUCGACUCAUGAAGAUAGUGAGCUGACUGUUAGGAAAGACAGAAUACAGAAAUUUUCAGACCUAAGGCCAAGUCGACUCAUGUAGAGGUUCCGUCGACUCGUGGGCAGCUCGAAUCGAUCUUUGAGGAAUUAGAGUUGAUCCUUGGCAUAGAAACAGCAAUAAUGGCUAAUUUUCUACACUUUCUAAUGGCUAUUUCUCCACUCUAAUGACUAGUUCAAGCCUCCCAAUGAUCAAAAAUUUUUUUUCCAGCCACUUUUAAGUUUACAAAAGAUAAGAGAAUCAAUUGGAAAGUAAGUUUAAGGGGAACUAAAGAAGAAAAUACUUCAUCUAUUGAGUGUAUAUUGAAUAUCGUUGGAAAAGAAGUAAAGAGAGGGAUUUAUGCAUUGAAUUCAGAGAGCUUUCAAGAGAGAUCAUCUUCAACCUCUUUCAUACCCUCUCAAGCUUCAAAUAAAAGAAGUUCAAAAACAUCGAAAGAGCAAAUCAUUAGCAUCUUCUCAAUGCUUCAAAGAGUUUAUUUUUCAAUUUUAUUUUAUCCUAAAAUUUCAUAUCUUAUAUUCUUGUUUUCUUUUUAAGUUUCUUUGGAGAUAAGAAAUUUGGGGUUACAUCCAUGCAAGUUUGAAAUUGGACAUUGUAAAUUUUGGUUGGUGAGCUUAUAAAACUAACUAGAUUCAUUAUGAAUCUAAAAAAUAGUCAGUAUAUAGGUUGUGGUUAGUGAGCUCGUAAAACCAACUAAAUUUAUUUGUAAUCUCAGAUAAAACAAACAUGUUAUAAUCGAAAAGAUUAUAGUAAAAUUUUUAAGAAAAACUUGAGAAGUGGAUAUAGGUACGGGAUUACACCAAACUACUAUAAAAUUUACGUUAUUUAUAUUGUGUCUUCUUGUACUUAUUUUACUUGCUUUUAAAUUUUAGUCUUGCAUUGUUUAAAUUCUUAGUUUGCAUUCAUUAUCUUAAUUUUGUUGUACCUUAAAGCAUACACCACAUAAUCACUUAAGUUCUCUUAAAUUAUAAUAUAUACUUUCUUAGAUUUUGCAUUUGCUUGAAAUUUUUAAAAAAUUCAAUUCACUCCUUCUCUUGGGUUGCUAUCUUUCUGAACAAUAAUUGAUAUUAGAGCAGGUACUCUAAUAUUAUUUAUUGAUCAAGUGGUCUAGAGCCAAAGGUCAUGGCAACUCUGAUUGGUUCCUUGUUUGCCAAAAGAUAAUUAACUUCGAGACCGCCACUAUUCAAUGGUAUUAAUUAUAUUUUUUGAAAAGCUAAAAUGAGAAUAUUUAUACAAGCUUUAGAUUAUGAUAUAUAAGAAAUCAUUGAAGGAAGAAUCUGAUCCAUAUCGGAUGACCAAAAAGAAGGAGAAUAGAUUUCAAAUUAAUUUCUUUUUCAUAACUUUUAUGAAACAUACCUUGAGGCGCAGUGGCAAGAUGAUCAAGGUUGUUAGAUUUUAGAAAUUAGUUGUUUUGCGAGAUCUGGAUGCACAAAUCCUCUACUUCACAUGCACGCCAAGCACCAUAGGAGAGAGGGAUGAAGACUUGUAGAUAUUCUUCUUAAA